AUGUACAAAUUUCAUUCCUCAAAUGUCCGCGGACGUGUCCGGUCCGUGUUCGAUUUUUGCUUACACCCAGCCGCAACUCCUCCUUUGACACCUCAUUUUCCCGGGCAUUUCAGCGAGCGUGUUAUGGGCGCCACCACCAGGGUGUGGAGAGAACGAGGAGAGCAUGCAAGCCAUCGGCUCCGGCGGCCAGCCAGCACGCCGGUGAGAGGUGCCCUAUACAGGGAGAUAUUCAACUUCCGUUGGAUGAACAUUAUUUGGUGCCCUAUACCUAAGGGGGGAAUACCGGGGCAGAGUGCUGCAUGGAUGGGGCCCGCUAUAAGUGCUGACCUGGCAAACAAAACAUGA
Molecule: ribosomal RNA, 345 nt
Filed under: Triticum aestivum (bread wheat)
Lineage: Eukaryota; Viridiplantae; Streptophyta; Magnoliopsida; Poales; Poaceae
Description: partial small subunit ribosomal RNA
Source: RNAcentral